Molecule: ribosomal RNA, 253 nt
Filed under: uncultured bacterium
Lineage: Bacteria
Description: partial 16S ribosomal RNA
Rfam family: Bacterial small subunit ribosomal RNA
Source: RNAcentral
UACGUAGGCAGCAAGCGUUGUUCGGAAUUACUGGGCGUAAAGAGUGUGUAGGUGGUGCUCCAAGUCUGUUGUGAAAUCUCCCGGCUUAACUGGGAGGGUGCGGCGGAAACUGGAAUGCUAGAGUGUGGGAGAGGUAAGCGGAAUUCCUGGUGUAGCGGUGAAAUGCGUAGAUAUCAGGAGGAACACCUGUGGUGUAGACAGCUUACUGGACCACGACUGACGCUGAGACACGAAAGCGUGGGUAGCAAACAGG